CAACCCUUAAGCUCAGCUUAGUGUUGGGAAUCUACCGUGAGCGGUGUUACCCGGUACCUACCCUAUAACGGGGCAGGUUACCCUGUAGCUACCCUGUAGUUCCUCAAAUCCAACGGCGGAGUCAUAGUCAUCUCUGAGCGCAGUAAUUUUUAUCACGCUUUUGAAGAUGCUAUAACCCUUGCCGCUAAACCCCCAAUUUUUUAAUGG
This 207-nucleotide unclassified non-coding RNA is filed under the name uncultured Polyscytalum. RNAcentral's name for it is "sequence contains ITS2". The record is from RNAcentral. Lineage: Eukaryota; Fungi; Ascomycota; Sordariomycetes.